GACGAACGCUGGCGGCGUGCCUAAUACAUGCAAGUCGAACGCUUCCUACCGGUGCUUGCACCGGGAAAGAAGAGUGGCGGACGGAUGAGUAACGCGUGGGUAACCUACCUACAAGCGGGGGAUAACAUUCGGAAACGGAUGCUAAUACCGCAUAGAUCUUUUUGUCUCCUGGCAGAAAGAAGAAAGACGGUUUCGGCUGUCACUUGUAGAUGGACCCGCGGCGCAUUAGUUAGUUGGUGAGGUAAUGGCUCCAAGACGAUGAUGCGUAGCCGACCUGAGAGGGUGAUCGGCCACACUGGGACUGAGACACGGCCCAGACUCCUACGGGAGGCAGCAGUAGGGAAUCUUCCGCAAUGGACGAAAGUCUGACGGAGCGACGCCGCGUGAGUGAAGAAGGUUUUCGGAUCGUAAAACUCUGUUGUUAGAGAAGAACAAGGAUGAGAGUAACUGCUCGUCCCUUGACGGUAUCUAACCAGAAAGCCAUGGCUAACUACGUGCCAGCCGCCGCGGUAA
RNAcentral lists this ribosomal RNA (513 nucleotides) under uncultured bacterium. RNAcentral describes it as "partial 16S ribosomal RNA". It matches the Rfam family "Bacterial small subunit ribosomal RNA", at positions 28 to 523 of the family's 1533-position model. The record is from RNAcentral.